GCCUCAAGGAGCUGGGACUCACACCACCCCUGGAGGAAAUGCCCGCAGGCAAGGGCUGCCUGGGGACACGGGAAGUCCUGUCCUGCAACUUGUUCAAAUCAGGAUCCAAACAAAAGUCCAUGUUCUGCCUUCGGUUGAUAAGUGUUGGAACAUUACGGACGCCGGGCCUGUGUCGUGUUUCGGCUGUGUGCCUCCCUGGAGCCGCGGACCCAUGGUGGCAGGGACAGGCUGGAGAAGAGGGUUCUCUGGGCAGCCAGCGUUUACUCGGAUGCUUCGAGAAUUAGCGGGGUGGGGAAACUGAGGCUGAACAGCUCGUCCAACGUCCCAGUGCUGGUAGAUGGAAAAGGCAGGGUUUGAGGACGGCCGGCUGGCUCCCCGGUCUGUGGCACACCGCCGGCCCUCUGGAGCCAGACUGUGGUGGGUUGCGAUCCCAGCUGCGUCACUCACCAGCUGUGUGACCUUGACCCUGUGGCUCAGCCUCUCUGGGCUUCAGUGCUGUGUGUAUACAACUGCGAUGAUACUGGCUCCAUCUCCUGAAAGUCCUGAGAAUUGUCCGACGAGUCAUUUAUGAAGCUCGAAUGGCCACACUAAUAAAGUUGGCUCUUGUCUCUGCUUGAAA
This is a long non-coding RNA of Suricata suricatta (meerkat), 619 nucleotides long. RefSeq lists it as uncharacterized. The record is from RefSeq and is a predicted model, not a curated record. NCBI's taxonomy places the organism in Eukaryota, Metazoa, Chordata, Mammalia, Carnivora, Herpestidae. The transcript is spliced from 4 exons.